AGCAGCCGCCACGGUAAUACGUAGGCAGCAAGCGUUGUUCGGAGUUACUGGGCGUAAAGGGUGCGUAGGCGGUCCUAUAAGUAUGGUGUGAAAUCUCCCGGCUUAACUGGGAGGGUGCGCUAUAGACUGUGGGACUAGAGUGUGGGAGAGGAAAGUGGAAUUCCUGGUGUAGCGGUGAAAUGUGUAGAUAUCAGGAGGAACACCGGUGGUGUAAACGGCUUUCUGGACCAUAACUGACGCUGAGGCACGAAAGCGUGGGUAGCAAACAGGAUUAGAUACCCCAGUAGUCCCUGUCUCUUAUAC
This 303-nucleotide ribosomal RNA is filed under the name uncultured bacterium. Its description in RNAcentral is "partial 16S ribosomal RNA". It matches the Rfam family "Bacterial small subunit ribosomal RNA", at positions 507 to 807 of the family's 1533-position model. The record is from RNAcentral.